CUUAAAUGUUGGGUCACAGUAAAAAAAUAAAUGCCCCCCAAAAAACCAUGACAAACAAUCAGUUAGCAAUAUCAUUUAAUCAUUUCCCCUCAGCGUAGAAUCACUGUUGUACAUAAGUUACUUUGUUUUCUCAAUUUCACAGGUUCAUUUUUUUUUUCUCUCUUCAAACUUCCUGUUUGACCUCCCUCUCGUAUCAAACGAAAAAAAAAGCAGAUUGUAUUAUACAAAAAUGCAAACCAAUUUUCACACAGUGAAUUCUCUUACAAAGUCAUAAAAUGGCGUAAUAAUGGCUACAUCCACAUUGGAGGAAGAUAUUUCUAGACAUUCCUUAAUGGAGUAUAAUAUACAUAUAAAAACGUUUUUCUUGCUGAAAUCAAACCUGUACCUUAAUUUAAGAGAUAUUUUACAAGGGAGUAAUCAUAUAAAAUAGCCAUUUGCGAAUUUCCCCAGAAAGUCAGGGAAUAAAAUGUGAGCCUCAAACAGCAGUAACAGAGUUCAGUGGUCAAGAGGGGGGGGGGGGGGGGGGGGGUGGAGGGCUUAACUUGUUCUGUAAAUGAGGAGGGGGGGGGCAGCAAUUGCAAUGAACAUCUUUGCCGUUUACUCUCCAGUAAACCAGCCCACCAGUCACGGCGGUGGCUCCUCCUCAGCUAAAGGUGGUUCAGCCUCAUUCGUUUUGGUAGACUUGUACUUCGAGAGGUGGAGGAACGUCAUAAUCAAUCGACACCAACCUGUUGUCAGUUUGCGGCAUUUCAACAGCAGAAUUAAAGCUGGUGGGACAAUUUCUCGUAGAUAUGCGUGUAAGGGGAACAAAGCUAUUGUGUGAAUGUCACUCAGAUUCUCUUAGCUGCUGACUACACAUCAGGUCAGAUGAUGCAUUAAAGACUGUAAGACUUGCAGGGUCAGUAAAUUCACUCAACUAUUGCAGGAACAGAACAAAAAAAACAAAAGAGAAAAGGACUACAAACCGAACUAGAUCAACAUUUCCUUAAAAGAAAAAGAGUAAAUUUUGCUGUCAGUCAAAUCUUGAGAUUUUCAUUAUUUGCAUGUCGCUGUUCUGCAUUCAAAUUUUCAAAAAGUGAGGGGGCCUCUACUAGAGUCCAAUUCAGUGUGUUUUACUAUUUUAGAAAUGACCUCGUGCUCCGAAAGCCGACAAGGUAAAGGGACAUUGCAAAGAGGAUUUAAGGCCAACCUCUCCUCAGAGACUUCCUGAAUAUCCUCUAAGGGACAUGCGUGGGGGGGGGGGGGACCCCCAACACUUUUCUAAUACCUCAAAACUAUUACCCAGUACAGCACACCUUGUGGGAGAAAAAACCAAAACGUCGGGUACAUUUUCUACAAUACAACUUAGCACACACAAAACUUCUCCACAAAUGUUCCAAAGUUACAGAAUUUUGUCGUCUUCUUCGGAAGCAUAGUCUAUAGAGAACAUCUUUGUUUGAACACAAAAGAUUAAGUGAACGCGCACAGAAGUCCUUCGUCUGGGAAAGGAUAAAGUCUGUGUUGGCAACCAAUGGACAGAAAACAAAUCAAACGACGAAACAAAAACAUUUUGCUGAUUCUAAAUAGAGAUCAUUUAAUAUAAAUGCUGAGCGAGUAAAAUAAGAGGUGGCACAUUAAUAGUGCUUUAGUAUAUUAAUGUAUGUAUACAUACUCAUAUGUAUAAGUGAGCUGUGUACCUAAACAAUAAAUGUAGCAAGGAGCAGCCAGAUGAUUGAAGUGGGGGAGGAAAAUAAAAAAUAACAAAACAAAAACAUCUAGCAUCAUGGCGCUGACAUAUUGGAAGAGAUUCCUAUCAAACGGCCCACGCCAGGGACACACGACAUCGGGUUUUCAACUCACUCGUGAGGGAUUUGUCACAACGUUUUUUUUUCCCCGAGGACCAAAAGCAGGGGUCAAAGUUCAACCCAAAACAACUCGACCCAGAGAGUCUUCUCUACCCGGCUGUGGGGCCGGAGCCAAUCACGCUCGUUGUUUACAGAAGGCAAAGAGCUCGACACGCGAGCAUCAGCAGUAAACAAUCUGCAUGGUGGAUACAGAGCAAUAAUAGUGGUGAUGGUGGUGAUGAUGACCCAGGUGGGAGAAGGUAGAUAUGAUAUUGUAAUACUCGCCGAUAGAAAUGCUUAAAUGUACUCAAUGCGAUGCUGGAGCACGUUUGGUUAUCAGUAUCGUUGACUGUAAACAGGUUUUUUUUUUAUGUAUUGCGUAGCCUAAAACGCUACGACCGCUACCAGGAGUGCAAACGGCGAGUUUAGGUUUUGCUUGGAGUUCAACUAUUUCACAACGGACGGCAUUAAGCCACGCCCCCCCCCCUCGAAUCGUAACAAAGCAAAGCAUGAAAAAAUUAAAAAACGAACCGAACGAAAGAACACAAGGGAAGGCAACUUCAUAGAAGUUAGGACAACAAACGACAAGAUAAUCCCAAUGGGGAGGCCUUUGGUGUGGCUCGACGAGAUGCUCUGAGGAGGGAACUGCUCAAUUUGCCCAAUUCAUAAAGACACUGAGCCGACCGACUCCCGAUGCAGAGAGGUGGUCUCUCCAGUCGCCCCCCAAAAGAAGUCAUUUGGGGCACGCUGUGAAGGGUCCCGCAGCGUAAUCAGCAAGGACUGAAUGCAGCGGAGAGCCGUCACAAACCAAACCACAUCAGGGUCACACCGCAGCCGAGAGAAGCACAUAGCAGGUUCCCUUAUAUAGAAAAAAAGUGGAAAGCUCAUUAUCAAAAAGACUCGCUGCACUCUUUAAAACAGAAUGCCUCAAUUAAAUAUAGAAUAUACUGCUAUCAAGUAUGAAACAUACAUGAUGUGUUCAUAAAACGCAUUCAUAAAAAUCAUACUUCUGGUGGCAGGCGAAGACGCGCGUGUGCCGCAAAAAGUGAUUUCUGUACCACAGCGCUUCUUCGUUUCAGCUGAAUACUGGUGGAAUAUUGUUCUGCUUUUCCCUCCUCAGAUCGUCUCCAUCCGAGCAAACACAACUUUUUUAAAAAUUUUUUUUUUUUUUUUUUACGAUUCUGGGGUUGAGUACCAAGUGACGCGUUUCCGCCGAUUCCUACAAUACCUUCACAGAUCGCCAGAUAAUUCUCUUCCGAGUGUGUGGGACCUGCUCCUCUGCACGGUUUGCUGCUUCAGCUGAACACAAAUCCUACCUGGGGAGGAUCGAUUAAAUACAUGACUGUUUAUUAAGAAUGGAAUAGGCCUAACCUUUUUUUGAAUGAAAUUACAAUACCACUGUCAACAUCACCACCAUUUUCUCUUCCUGAUAUAUCUAUGAUGAGCUUUGUUUAUGUUUAACUCCGGUAAAAAAAAAAAAAAAUAGACGAAAGAAAAAUGCACACACGAGAAAUGUUAUCAUAUGCUCUGGUUUCCAGGCAAGGAAAGUCAUUAAAAAAAAGCUCAUUCACAGAACAAAAAAGAAAGAAAAUUCAUAUCACGGCAGAUACUGCUCAUCUUCUAAAUAGAAUGGGUGCCUGUGCAUGCUUUUCAAUUGAGCAUCUUGAGUGUGUGCAUGUGUGGUUGUGUGUGUGCGAGUGUGUACUGCGCCUAUGAGCAGGAAUGGACGCCAUUCUUCUGCAUUUCUGAACCAGUGGCGCCGGAAUCAGAGCACAAGCCCAUAGCAGACGUCUUAUUGGUCAGUGACAGCAUGGACCCGCCCACUGCACUUUCUUGGAGACUGUUGGAUCCGUUCGACACCUCGCUGAAUUGAAGACGGAGAAAAGAAACCAGUGUGAACUGUGGAUACUGAAGGAGCACAGGAAUAUGAACGGUUUUACAGUAGAGUACGUGU
Long non-coding RNA from Gasterosteus aculeatus aculeatus (three-spined stickleback), 3777 nucleotides. The record is from Ensembl. Lineage: Eukaryota; Metazoa; Chordata; Actinopteri; Perciformes; Gasterosteidae.